GAGGGUAUAGCUCAGUGGUAGAGUGCAUGCCUAGCAUGUACAAGGUCCUGGGAUCAAUCCCCAGUACCUCCA
RNAcentral lists this transfer RNA (72 nucleotides) under Camelus bactrianus (Bactrian camel). It matches the Rfam family "tRNA". Rfam says of the family: Transfer RNA (tRNA) molecules are approximately 80 nucleotides in length. Their secondary structure includes four short double-helical elements and three loops (D, anti-codon, and T loops). The record is from Rfam by way of RNAcentral. Lineage: Eukaryota; Metazoa; Chordata; Mammalia; Artiodactyla; Camelidae. RNAcentral also lists the same sequence under 2 other names.